This 300-nucleotide unclassified non-coding RNA is filed under the name uncultured Entoloma. RNAcentral describes it as "sequence contains 5.8S rRNA gene, ITS2". The stretch from base 1 to 71 matches the Rfam family "5.8S ribosomal RNA", at positions 84 to 154 of the family's 154-position model. The record is from RNAcentral. Lineage: Eukaryota; Fungi; Basidiomycota; Agaricomycetes; Agaricales; Entolomataceae.
GUGAAUCAUCGAAUCUUUGAACGCACCUUGCGCUCCUUGGUACUCCGAGGAGCAUGCCUGUUUGAGUGUCAUGAAAUUCUCAACCUUUCAAGCUUUUUUUAAGCUAGUCAGGCUUGGAUUCUGGAAGUUUGCUGGUUCUAGCAACUCAGCUCUUCUUAAAUGCAUUAGCAAGAUUAAUCACUAAAUCAUCUUUUUGAUAUGAUAAUUAUCUAUAUCAUUAAUGAACCGUGUUUUUCUUGCUUUUAAUUUGUGUCUCAAAAGAGACCAACUAUUGAAUCAUUUGACCUCAAAUCAGGUAGG